Molecule: ribosomal RNA, 311 nt
Filed under: uncultured eukaryote
Lineage: Eukaryota
Description: partial 18S ribosomal RNA
Rfam family: Eukaryotic small subunit ribosomal RNA
Source: RNAcentral
CCCCUAGACGUUCUGGGCUGCAUGCGCGCUACAAUAAUACGCACAGCGAGUAUCACCGAGCUCGAAAGGGCAAGGUAAACAAUAGAAAAGGUACUGUAAUGGUUAUAGAUCCUUGUAAUUAUUGAUCUUCAACGAGGAAUUCCUAGUAAGUAUGUGUCAUCAUCACGCACUGAUUACGUCCCUGCCCUUUGUACACACCGCCCGUCGCUCCUACCGAUUGGGUGAGCCGAUGAAACUCUCGGAUGUAGGCUAUUCAUAGCCCGCAGAAGAGAUUUGAAUCGUAGCGCUUAGAGGAAGGAGAAGUCGUAACA